RNAcentral lists this ribosomal RNA (467 nucleotides) under uncultured bacterium. RNAcentral describes it as "partial 16S ribosomal RNA". It matches the Rfam family "Bacterial small subunit ribosomal RNA", at positions 28 to 506 of the family's 1533-position model. The record is from RNAcentral.
GACGAACGCUGGCGGCGUGCUUAACACAUGCAAGUCGAACGGAAAGGCCCUGCUUUUGUGGGGUGCUCGAGUGGCGAACGGGUGAGUAACACGUGAGUAACCUGCCCUUGACUUUGGGAUAACUUCAGGAAACUGGGGCUAAUACCGGAUAGGAGCUCCUGCUGCAUGGUGGGGGUUGGAAAGUUUCGGCGGUUGGGGAUGGACUCGCGGCUUAUCAGCUUGUUGGUGGGGUAGUGGCUUACCAAGGCUUUGACGGGUAGCCGGCCUGAGAGGGUGACCGGCCACAUUGGGACUGAGAUACGGCCCAGACACCUACGGGGGGCAGCAGUGGGGAAUAUUGCACAAUGGGCGGAAGCCUGAUGCAGCAACGCCGCGUGCGGGAUGACGGCCUUCGGGUUGUAAACCGCUUUCGCCUGUGACGAAGCGUGAGUGACGGUAAUGGGUAAAGAAGCACCGGCUAACUACGU